CUAGCGGAGCAUCCGAGUGCACAGCAAAGCCAAGACAAACACAGCGCUGCUCUCUCCUGAAAAUGUUAGUGGUUUGAAAGAUCUCCGUUGUUGCUCCAUCCCGGAAAAUGAUUCAUCCUCCCCUCGGGGUUUUGACUUGCCUCUGCACGUUUCACAACACUGCCUGGCUUUAUAAGAGCGUGGUUGCACGCGGCGACUCCUAGCAGAUUUCUCGGCUCGGUUGCGAGCGAGGCGGCGGCUAAUCCUUCUAACGAUGAUUUUCCUCUUGCAGCAUUUCAUCUUUCUGGCCAUAGACUUAUUACUCGCGACGACCCUUUCCUGCCUCUUUUAUGCCUUUAUAUGCAUUUCCAUUGCAUUUUUGACCUGCUUCAUUAUCAUCUUCUCCUUCGGCAUUGUGGAGAGGAACAUUGAUGUGAAAGGGAGAGCAAUUGUAGUUCUCGUGUCCAACAGCUCCAUUGGGAGGAUGUUUGCAAGGAACCUGGAUAAAGCAGGUUUCAGGGUGUCUGCUGCACACUGGCCUCCUCGAGAGGAGGGGACAGCUACAGAAGAAGAGUGCUUUUCAAGCACGGAGGUAGCCCAGCUCCACAUGACUGAAGAUGAGUAUCAGAAGACAAUGAAAACCUUCAUAGAAAGCCACUUAUCCCUGAAAGGCUCUGCAGAAGAAGGACAUUUGGGAAGUCAGAGCACGCACCAUGAAGCCUCCCCUACCGCAGACACCCUUCAAAGAGGCGAAGCAUCCCGCAGGCCAGAAGUGCCUGCGGUCAGAUGCUGUGUGACUCUGCAUGGCCCAGGAUACAUCCCCCCGCAGGCUCCUGGAACAGGUGCCCUGCACACCAACAGAUGGUUUCAGACCAAACGCUCAGCUACCUGCAUGAGCAUUUAGCCUAAUUUACCCUAGUAAAAUUGUUCUGGUGAAACUUGCCUGUGUGGACAAGGCCUAGCUGAGUAUCAGCAUACUCUGCUCUGGAAACAAACAAUGGAGACUUUCUUAACCAGUAGUGCUCCGUGGGAGCUGGUGAUUUCUGUGGGCUGGUGCUCUUUCAAUUAAAUGGGGAUCUGGCCCAGUGAUAUCUGUCUUUUUUGCUUUUGAGUAUUUUGAUCACUUGUGCUAGUUAAGGGCUUUUACAGUUCUUUUGGUGGUUUGUUUUUUUUUUUUUUUUUUUUUUUUUUUUUUUCUUUGUUUUUUGACAGGGUACUCUAUUGUAAGAUCUGUAAGAUUUUACAUUUAGGAUCUCCUGCAUAGUAUUCGCAUCACAGAUGGGGAUGUUAAAACAUAUUUCCCGAGCACUGACCCAAUUGCAUGGGAGAUCAAAGCACUGGGCGGGAGGGGGGAGGGUGCAGUGUGUGGCUGUGAGAGAAAAAGAAAAAAAGUAAACCUCACAGUUUUCUUGGAGUUCUUUGUUAACACAGUUUCAAGUGAGUGCUGGUAUUUAUUCUGCAAGAUUUGCUGUCAUAUUUUUGGCAUGGGUUGGGUGACCGUGAACACCUACCGCCAGCUGACUGAUAAUAAAACAAUCUAAACCAAAAAACUCCA
This 1534-nucleotide long non-coding RNA is filed under the name Calidris pygmaea (Spoon-billed sandpiper). RNAcentral describes it as "lncRNA (ENSCPGG00000016465.1)". The record is from RNAcentral. Lineage: Eukaryota; Metazoa; Chordata; Aves; Charadriiformes; Scolopacidae.